UACCCCUAAACGCUCCAGUGCAACAGUCAGAUAUUAAAGCAACAGCGCUAAUUUCCAAUAGCCAACACAAGCUUCCCUUGAAAGCUAUUUCAAGUCCCAAAUACUCCACAGUUUGGUGGACUGUAGAGUACCCAGAAACUGUUUCCUCUUCAGAACAAUUUAGCUGAUAAAAAUUCCUUCCAAUUACACAUCAAACACCAAAUAUAGAUACGUACUUGAACAUCAAGUUUGUUAAUUUCUUUACCAAAACAAAACAAACCCAAUUCACCAAAAAGCUAAAUAAAAACAGGAGAUUCACAAACACCCAAUAAAAAAAGAACACCAGAACCUGCAGCUUCAGCAACCCCACUUCACAGAAACCCCACUCAGCUCCUUGUACAAAAAUCCAGCAAACUAAAAGAGCUAGAUAUGCAGCAAAACAUGAAUCACCAGAAAGCAGUUUAUAAAAGGCUUGAUUUCACAACAAAUUACCGCAAAAAUGUGAACUUUACGCGCAAUUGUUUCACUUGUGCAGUCAAAGAGGAAGAAAAAUACAAGCCUUACUGGUCACCACAGCUCAGAGAAGCAAAAUGAAACAUUUCGUUAGGGUUAGGGUUUCUUCCUCGUUCUUUGCAGCUAAACUCGGCAACAACCCUCACUUUCUCUCUCUUCUCUCUCUCUCUCUCUCUCUCUC
This 673-nucleotide unclassified non-coding RNA is filed under the name Hevea brasiliensis (rubber tree). Lineage: Eukaryota; Viridiplantae; Streptophyta; Magnoliopsida; Malpighiales; Euphorbiaceae. The record is from RNAcentral.